CCUACGGGUGGCUGCAGUGGGGAAUAUUGCACAAUGGGGGAAACCCUGACGCAGCGACGCCGCGUGAGUGAAGCAGUAAUUCUUUAUGUAAAGCUCUAUCAGCAGGGAAGAAAAUGACUGUACCUGAGUAAGAAUCCCCGUCUAACUACGUGCCAGCAGCCGCGGUACUACGUAGGGGGCCAGCGUUAUCCGGAUUUACUGGGUGUAAAGGGGGCGUAGACGGCAGUGCAAGUCUGGAGUGAAAGGCAUGGGCUCACCCCCCGGACUGCUCUGGAUACUGUACGGCUGGAGUGCAGGUGAGGUAAGUGGAAUAACUAAAGUAGCGGUGAAAUGCGUAGAUAUUAGGAGGAACACCAGUGGCGAAGGCAGCUUACUGGACUGUAACUGACGUUGAGGCUCGAAAGCAUGGGGAGCAAACAGGAUUAGAUACCCCAGUAGUC
RNAcentral lists this ribosomal RNA (440 nucleotides) under uncultured bacterium. RNAcentral's name for it is "partial 16S ribosomal RNA". It matches the Rfam family "Bacterial small subunit ribosomal RNA", at positions 338 to 795 of the family's 1533-position model. The record is from RNAcentral.